RNAcentral lists this ribosomal RNA (492 nucleotides) under uncultured bacterium. RNAcentral's name for it is "partial 16S ribosomal RNA". It matches the Rfam family "Bacterial small subunit ribosomal RNA", at positions 29 to 507 of the family's 1533-position model. The record is from RNAcentral.
AGUGAACGCUGGCGGUAGGCCUAACACAUGCAAGUCGAACGGCAGCACAGUAAGAGCUUGCUCUUACGGGUGGCGAGUGGCGGACGGGUGAGGAAUACAUCGGAAUCUACUUUUUCGUGGGGGAUAACGUAGGGAAACUUACGCUAAUACCGCAUAUGACAUACGGGUGAAAGCAGGGGAUCUUCGUACCUUGCGCGAUUGAAUGAGCCGAUGCCGGUUUAGCUAGUUGGCGGGGGAAAGGCCCACCCAGGCGACGAUCCGUAGCCGGUCUGAGAGGAUGAUCAGCCACACUGGAACUGAGACACGGUCGAGACUCCUACGGGAGGGAGCAGUGGGGAAUAUUGGACAAUGGGCGAAAGCCUGAUCCAGCCAUACCGCGUGGGUGAAGAAGGCCUUCGGGUUGUAGAGCCCUUUUGUUGGGAGAGAAAGGCAGCAGGUUAAUACCCCGCUGUUCUGACGGUACCCAAAGAAUAAGCACCGGCUAACUUCGUG